GAGCAGGUGCUGCAUGGCUGUCGUCAGCUCGUGUUGUGAAAGUGUUCGGGUUAAGUCCCGCAACGAGCGCAACCCUUAUCCUUUGUUGCCAGCGGUCCGGCCGGGGAAACUCAAAGGAGACUGCCAGUGAUAAACUGGAGGAAGGUGGGGAUGACGUCAAGUCAUCAUGGCCCUUACGACCAGGGCUACACACGUGCUACAAUGGCGCAUACAAAGAGAAGCGACCUCGCGAGAGCAAGCGGACCUCAUAAAGUGCGUCGUAGUCCGGAUUGGAGUCUGCAACUCGACUCCAUGAAGUCGGAAUCGCUAGUAAUCGUGGAUCAGAAUGCCACGGUGAAUACGUUCCCGGGCCUU
Molecule: ribosomal RNA, 354 nt
Filed under: uncultured Enterobacteriaceae bacterium
Lineage: Bacteria; Pseudomonadati; Pseudomonadota; Gammaproteobacteria; Enterobacterales; Enterobacteriaceae
Description: bacterial SSU rRNA
Rfam family: Bacterial small subunit ribosomal RNA
Source: RNAcentral